RNAcentral lists this ribosomal RNA (254 nucleotides) under uncultured bacterium. RNAcentral's name for it is "partial 16S ribosomal RNA". It matches the Rfam family "Bacterial small subunit ribosomal RNA", at positions 524 to 776 of the family's 1533-position model. The record is from RNAcentral.
UACAGAGGUCCCAAGCGUUGUUCGGAUUCACUGGGCGUAAAGGGUGCGUAGGCGGCUCGGUAAGUCGGGUGUGAAACCUCCAGGCUCAACCUGGAGACGCCACCUGAUACUGCUGUGGCUAGAGUCCGGUAGGGGAGUGUGGAACUCCUGGUGUAGCGGUGAAAUGCGCAGAUAUCAGGAAGAACACCAGCGGCGAAGGCGGCACUCUGGGCCGGAACUGACGCUGAGGAGCGAAAGCGUGGGUAGCAAACAGG